ACCACAUUUUCACGAAGGCAGUGUGAAAACGCAGCUGACCUGAUGCCACUGAGGGAUGUCCCACUCAGAGUUUGGAUAUUGGAUCCAUGGACACCAACAGAUUCUCUGCUGCUGAAAAAGCACUCAAUGGCCACCAAAAGGUGCAGGAGGAAACCGUUUUGCAGGGCUCAUCUGCAUGAGAAACCCGGGCAGCUGGGAAACACCGACAUAGGGCUCUCCUGGGGGGAGAUCCACCCAGACACUGGAGGAGAAAAGUAAUCCAUACAUCGGCUGUCUGUACCACCACCUUCGAAAAGGAAGGAAACCUCAGGAACUCUGAACCCUGGAGCAUUGGUCUGCCAUGUUCUCAGCAUCCUAACUGGCUUAGCCAACAACACACCCUGCCAGUGUCUUGCUGAUGUGGGAUCCUUUAGGUUUGUAACCUAAGGGAAAUACAUGCCAGCAAUCUACUGUGGAUGAGGUAGCACCUCCUCUGGAUGGCUGAACUGAGCUGAGACUCCUUAGAUGAGAAAUUCCAUCUGGGGUCUGGCUUUACAGGCCAUCCCUGCAUUUCCAGCACAGGAGGGCAAUGGAUACAGAGCCACCUCCACCAUAUCCUGAGCUCAGUGAGGAUGAGCAACAGAGGGCAUGGGCAUCCUCCCAUCUGCUCCCAUUCUGGAGCAAAGAUACAUCCAAAAUGCUGCAACUCUGCAAUCCUCCUCUCUUUCUGGGAUGGUUUCAAUGGUAAGAUUUACAGCCUAAAAGAUAUCACUGAAGUCAUGGCAGUAAGAGGGGCAGCUACAACAGCAAGGAGGAGAAACAGAAGUAUUUCACCGAGUCCAAGCCUUGCAGAUGGUGAGAACAACAAGCAAAAGCCAUGCUCACAGUUAAAGCUAAUGAAAUUCUACAAUCCCCAUGGGAAACUCAGAAACACAGAUCAGUAAAUUCAAGCCCAGGUAGAGCCAAAGUUUGGCAAAGUUCAUGCAUGGAGUUGAAUUUCAGAAGAAAAAUUCAUGACAUCCAACUAUCCUGUAUUUCCCACCCUGACUAACCGGGUUUAUCCUCACCUUGAAUUGGAUGAGAUACAGGACAUGUAAAAAUGUAUUAAAUCAAAAAGUGCCUCAGUGACAGCACAGGUGCUCCUGUAGUCAUAGCACAUUUCACCCAGAAGAACUUUGCAUGGAAAAGGAACAAGUGGACAAUUAUUCCCUAAAAAGAAGGGGUCAGGUAAAUGAGAUUGGAUUUAGAUCAGGCUUGGGGAUAAAAAGGAUGUACUGUGCAAUCUCCAAAUUUCCGGGUUAGAGGAAAGCUCCAGCACUUCCCCCUUCCUUUCAGGCAACUAGCUUAUGCAUUUUCAUCUGGAAGUGUGCUUCUCAAAGUGCACAGAUCAGACAUCACAGAAGAAAUGAAGCUUUGGAGAGAACCUUCACCAGGCCAGGUAAAUUCAUCUCUUCCUCCUGUUUGGAGUGUGGAAGAGGAAUCCUCACAGCACUGCAAGAACUCUCAGGUGGUUUGGAAGAUGAAGCAUGUGCCAGAAAAUAGGAGGUUGCAUUUAAAAUAGUCAUUAAGUAGUUAAUCAGUUAUGUAAUUUCAGCCUAUUUAGGGAGCUCCAUCUACUUCUCACACUCACUUUAUCCCACAAACUAAGAACAUCCUAACAUUUAUGAGCACUGGGCAUUCCUAAGGCAGUGUCGCCUGGCCAGCUCAUUCACUGGUGUAAAUCCAUCAGCUCCAUUCAGAAGAAAUAUUCCAUGGAAUAAACCCGCUCAUACUCUGGCAGCGACCCUGCGGGGUCAGGCAGGAUGUCCCAUUGUGCUCCUUCUUGCACAAACACAAUGGGGUUCAGCCCCCGGGGGCAGAGCCUCUGUCAGGCUGUUUGUGCCUCCUGACAUCGCGUUCUGCAGGAUGUUUGUUUUCAGGUCGGGGCACCCAACCAACGUGUAGACAAAGGUUCACAAAACAGGGCGUGCUUACAAGGCCAGAGCCAUGGCUAUCAGGCACACCUUCCUCCAAGGACUGACCAAAUGGAUGCUUCUCUGCUCCAAAAUAAAGAGCUACCACACAAGCUAAUUUUGGAAUACCUACUUCUCCUGGAAGCACUCAGUUUCUCUCAUAAUACUGCCCCACAUAUGUAUCACGAAUAUGGCAAAAUCCAGGUGAAUUUCUGGUUCUGUUUUGAUGCUAAAAUCAAAAGUUGUUCAUUAAGACCAGUGUCUCACCCAAACACAGUUAAACUAAAAAGCCAAGCGAUGUGUGGUUUGCAGGAAAACUUUCCUGAAUUUGUAUUUAUUGGUAAAUAAAUGAGGCACUACCUCAAAAAAGCUUCACCAGGAGCAGCGGGAAUGGCAGCUCCUGAGAAAACUAGCUGCACUGCAACCAUUUAUCACAAACAUCAACCAAGCUGUAAACAUCACUCCGGAGAUCACAAGGUUUUUUGAGCAGCUCCUUGCCACAGGCUCCUCAUGGCUGGGCAACUAAUGCCAAGGGAAGAAGCCAUGUCUUGGUUCCUCCCACCAGCUGGAGGAAGGUGAAAGACAACCACAGGGAAGAACUACAAAUGAUCAAGAGCUGCCCUGCAAAUGAAGGGUCAUCAGAACAAGACCUGUGCAGCCCCAAGUGCUGUGUAAGGCUGCUAAAUCCAGCUGUGUGACAGCAGAACAGAAUUUUAUUCUAGGUUUUUUUCUGAAGCACCACCAUGACUGACAAAUGCUCCAGUUGGAAAAAGGCCAACAAUGAAUCAGGAUUCCUUAGAAUUUGGAGGUAAUUUUAGCAGAACAAGAAAUGCAGAAGUAUCAGUGAGUCCUGAACAUUCCUCCAGGACAAAAAUCUAUUACUUCAUAUAAGUCCAUUAAAACACUUCAUCUAGCCCCUUUAAUCCCUCUUAACAGAUUUGCUUUAUCACAAACAGAGGAGCUAAUCCUCUCCCACCUGUCUUUAUGAUAUGGAACCAUAAAUAAGAGCAAGUACUUUUCAUUUGUUAGGCAUUAUCCCCCCUUGGAUAACCCACCCCAGCAUUUCUGUAAUGGAGCCAUCUUUGGAGAACCACCCCAACUCUGAGGGCAAAUUCUCACUUCAGCCAUGGAAUCCUCCAGCAUGGAACGUGGAAACUUUAUCUACCCAUUGUUUUUAUUGCUAAAUUACUGUUUCCUAAAUUCAUCUCUUACCACAAGUUUUGAGACACUAAGCAAAGUGAGAAUUCCAGCUUGCUGGACUUGCCUUUUUUCUUCAACCCAGACCUUACACAUCUGAGGCCUUCGCUGUUGGAACCAGAUGGCAGCCUCGGCCAAAUCCAUCACCCACCCGUGCAAUUAGGUCAGUAGGUCAGCUGAACUUACUGCCAUUAAUGGUAAUUACAUCACCAUUUCACACAGAGUGGAAAAUGUAAAUGUAAAUUACUGGCUUCUCAAAACAAAAAUAUCAGGGAAAAAAGUAAUUUUUAUGAGCUACAUUGCAAUAGGCUCUGCAGACAUGGAGGAGUAACGUCAAACAGCCCCCCUGAUAAAUUUGGGGUUGAAGGACUGCAACAUGCACUUCAGUACCCUAAUUGCUGGAAACCCCCUCAGCAACCCCCCUUCCAACAGAACACAGCAUCCCUGGAUGGCCAUUCCACUGUGGAAAGUAGAACAGACACAGUGGCUGACCACUUGGGGCACACUAAAAGUAACCUGUGUCUCUUCAGGCUGUGGAAGCUUCACUUCCUCCAGCUGUCAGCUUACUCUGCUCUUUCAGCUGGAAAGAGAAUUUGUGCGCUCCCAUCCAACUCUGUGUGGUUCUACACCACAAAAUCCAACUGCCUGAAUGAAUCCCCAGCCCCUUCCAUGGCACAGUGCAAUGACCUCACGUUCCAGAGCAGCCAGAAGCGAGCUCAGAUAGAUUUGUGUCACAGUUGAGACUGCCACGACACACAGAGCAUCACCACACAAUUUCAGAAGGCUUUAAGCAUUUGCCCAAACAGAGUAACACCUUACCUCAUCAGAAGGCUUCUGCCCACAUAGAGCAACACCCUGUCACUUCAGGAGACUGCCAACAUCUCUCACCUUGUCCCCCAGCCCAGCCUUUUAUCCCCUGAUGCUGAUGCACGGCCCCUGUGUGCCCUCUGUCCCUUUGGUGGUUGGUCAGUGCCCUGGGCACUCGUUACCCCCAGUGCUGCUCACCUGCUCUGCACAGCUGUGGCCCAUUGGGGAUGAGGCUCAGCUUCAGUCCCAUUCCCAAUUAACACAAACUGUGUGCCUGCACAUUUGUAUGUUCAAUACAAAGCAUACAGCAUCUAACCCUAGACAAAAAACAUAUUAUUCUCAUUUUCUAACACUGUCUGCUUUACCUGGCAAUUAGAAAACCAUGUAAGACCUGCAAGGAACUGUUUUCUUCUCCUUGCUGUGUAGGUCCAAGUCAAUUUUUUCUCUAGAGGCACCGCAACCUCAAGUUAUUCCUAAAAUCUGGUUAGUAAAGGGAGCAUUAGUAUGACUAACUAGAGUGUAGCUGUUGUUUUAAAAAAACAGAUCUGAAACAGUGUCACGACAUAGCUCCCGAUGGAAGACAAUCAUUAAAGAAUGGAGAACACGUGGGUCCUUUGGGACCAACCCAAACCCCCAGGUAAGUCAGUGACUGGCUGAAAAAGAAGAGACAGAGGGCAAUGUCUUCCUUGAGGAGGCACAAGCAGCAUCCCUGGAGCGGGGGCUGGCUGUGAUCCAGCACUGGAGGCGUUGGCUCCGCGUUCCCGGGUGUCAGCACAGCGGACAUCUCUGGCCAGCGCCGGACAGGGCCCCCAUUGUGUGCCGGGGCCAUUCGCAGCUGUCGCUCUUCGAGACGCGCGGUGACAGCGAAGGGUCGCCAGUCCCUGCUCCUCAGGAACGUUCCUCUCCUGGAAGUUCCUGCUUCCUCCCGGGAAAUCUUGGAAAGCAGAAGCCGUGUGCAGCCGGUGCUGCCCCCCAGCCUGUCACUUCUGUCACACGGAGGAGCAGCACCGCCUGCACCCUGCAGAGCACUCCUAGAUGUACUCAGAUGAUGAUUUCUCUCUGUGCCUCUCCGGGGUCAUCUGUGCUGCUUAAUAUAAAAGCAGCUUCUCAGUCAGCCCUGUUCCAUGACACUGCAUCAGCUGGGAUGGAAUUAACUACAAAAAGGCGAGCUUAUUCAAAUCACCACGGUGCUGGGAGUCAGAGCAGCUUGAAUAUGGUAAUUCAAAGCAGCAGGACUUCAAAAAAGAGCAAGAUAUGACACAUUUGUCAAGUCACUGCUCUGUUCUGAAGUG
Molecule: long non-coding RNA, 5227 nt
Organism: Passer domesticus (house sparrow)
Lineage: Eukaryota; Metazoa; Chordata; Aves; Passeriformes; Passeridae
Exons: 6
Source: RefSeq, a predicted model, not a curated record